This 147-nucleotide non-coding RNA is filed under the name unclassified sequences. RNAcentral describes it as "RT-16 RNA". It matches the Rfam family "RT-16 RNA". Rfam says of the family: candidate division DUSEL4 (Archaea). Nearby to self-splicing intron genes The record is from Rfam by way of RNAcentral.
GUCUUAGUUAGCUUAAUGCUAUACUAGGGCUACAUGCUCAUUGAUAGUGCUUUAAACUAAGCCAUAAAAUUCAACCACAACAUUUAGUAAGUUUAAACUGAAAAGUGAAGUGAUGGUGAUUUACUUUCAAUUAAUGAGCUACAUAAC